UUUAAGGUCUAAUCUGCCCUAUGAGGAAUUGAAUGGCCGCGGUACUUUGACCGUGCAAAGGUAGCAUAAUAAUUAGUUUUUUAAUUGAAAGCUGGAAUGAAUGAUUGGACGAGAAAAUAACUGUCUCUAUUUAAUUUUAGUAGAAUUUUAUUUUUAAGUAAAAAAGCUUAAAUUUAAUUAAAAGACGAGAAGACCCUAUAGAGUUUUAUAUUUAAUUUAAUGUUAAUUUGUUAGUAUAUUUUUAUUAGUAUUAUAUUAAAUAUUUUAUUGGGGCGAUAGAAAAAUAUUAGUAACUUUUUUUUUUUUU
RNAcentral lists this ribosomal RNA (307 nucleotides) under Maladera sp. 836067. RNAcentral describes it as "partial 16S large subunit ribosomal RNA". The record is from RNAcentral. Lineage: Eukaryota; Metazoa; Arthropoda; Insecta; Coleoptera; Scarabaeidae.